RNAcentral lists this transfer RNA (74 nucleotides) under Candidatus Argoarchaeum ethanivorans. RNAcentral describes it as "tRNA-Asn". It matches the Rfam family "tRNA". Rfam says of the family: Transfer RNA (tRNA) molecules are approximately 80 nucleotides in length. Their secondary structure includes four short double-helical elements and three loops (D, anti-codon, and T loops). The record is from RNAcentral. Lineage: Archaea; Methanobacteriati; Methanobacteriota; Methanomicrobia; Methanosarcinales.
GCCGCUAUAACUCAGUUGGUAGAGUGUCUGGCUGUUAACCAGAUCGUCACAGGUUCGAGUCCUGUUGGCGGCGC